RNAcentral lists this long non-coding RNA (281 nucleotides) under Vigna radiata. RNAcentral describes it as "long non-coding RNA (VRAD_LNC013233)". Lineage: Eukaryota; Viridiplantae; Streptophyta; Magnoliopsida; Fabales; Fabaceae. The record is from RNAcentral.
UUUUCAUGAGUGUAUAUUUGCAAGUCUAUAUGGGGAGAAUUGCUAUAACAUAUUGUAUCUGCUUGAUGAUAUUUGUGUUGUAUUUGCAGAGUAAAUGAAUGUUCUGAACUGUUUUUGAAAUUUGUUUUUACUCUGUUAUAUGUGGAACUGUGCAAACAUGAUUGAGUUAUUAAUCAUGGUUGUGCAUCAUCAAAAAAGGGGGAGAUUGUUGAGAUUGCUGACAACACAAACUCUAUAUCAAACUGGUUUUUGAUGAUGACAACACAUUGCUUAAUAACAGU